This 63-nucleotide transfer RNA is filed under the name Rattus norvegicus (Norway rat). It matches the Rfam family "tRNA". From Rfam's summary of the family: Transfer RNA (tRNA) molecules are approximately 80 nucleotides in length. The record is from Rfam by way of RNAcentral. Lineage: Eukaryota; Metazoa; Chordata; Mammalia; Rodentia; Muridae.
GGGGAUUUAGCUCAGUGGUAGAGCGCUUGCCUAGGAAGCGCAAGGCCAUGGGUUCAGUCCCCA